AGUUUUUAUUUAGUUAUCUAGAUUAUAUGGACCAUGUUUUUUUUGCUUAAACUUUGGUGCAUUAAUAUUUAAAUGUGGCAAGGUGUUACAUUUAACCAAAAAACAACACACUAGUGCUUAUCAUAAUGGAUCAGGACCCAUUACUGACGAGAGUGAGAGACAAGGUCUACGGGAGAGCCUAAGAUGAGGAAAUGGAGCUGACCAGAGGCCCAUCCAUUGUGUCAUUCAAUAGCCCAAAGUAGUGGCCCAUGAAAUUAAAAGAACUCAAAAGUCAGAUCGUUGUUUUCUGGAUGCGUCCGUAAUAUGAAUCCGAUGAGGAAGAUGAAGCAAUCUAGAAGCUCGGAUAACUAAGACAUAGAGAGCCACAAUUGCAUGCAGAUGCUCGAGUAUUCAGGAUUAUCCUGCCUGAAGGAGGAAAUCCUAUUGGUGAUAGUCCUUUCGAUUAGAGAGAAGAGUGAUUCAGAGCCUUUAAAGGAGCCACGGUGAAGACGAUGGUUUCGUUCGCGCCACGUUUCAUAGAUAACCAACUGCCAAGCGAUCCGAGUUAAGAAAAUGUGGUGCACGGUACCCGUGAAGUUGGUAACUGCUCGGGCCGUGUCAUCCCAAGAGUCUGAGGGAGAUGUGAGUCCAAUCUUUCUCGACAAUGGCCUCCAGAUGCUUCUUGUGAAGCUACAAUCGAAAAAAUGUGGUUGCGAGAUUCAGGGUGGUUGUUACAUAAGAGGCAGGAGGGAUCCGUUUGGAGACCCCAAGAGAGUAAACGGUCGCGAGUAGGGCAUCGAUUGAGCAAAAACAGCCAGCAGAAUUCCAGAUUGGAAAAUCAGGGGAGUCCGAUAAGGUGAUAGUUGAGAGAUGUAUGUGGACUUGCUCCAUCAACAGUGAACGAGCUGGGGAUAGAAUCCAAGAACUUCCAUUCCAAAGAGUUGAUAAGGAUGAGGAGAGGGGUAUACCAGAGUGGCGAGGUCCAUGAGAAACGAAGCGCUGUAAUAAGGGACCAAAAGGCGACCAGGGGGAAUGCCAGAAGCUGAUAGAGCAGCCAUUUCCAGGAGUUUGCUUAUUAUAUGGAUCAUGUUUUAAACCUUAUUUAAAAUUUGAAAGUGCACUAUUUCUCGAUAAUAUCUUCUAAGAAAAUUAAUUAGUCUUUGGUACAGGUAACAGAUCAUAUCCCAAUUGAAAAAGAAAAGGUGUUUACAUAUUACCAGUGGAAUAUACUAUGAUUAUAUUUAAGUUUGGUUUGAAUUAACAAGGAAUGUCCUCAUUAAAA
This is a long non-coding RNA of Brassica napus (rape), 1261 nucleotides long. RefSeq lists it as uncharacterized. NCBI's taxonomy places the organism in Eukaryota, Viridiplantae, Streptophyta, Magnoliopsida, Brassicales, Brassicaceae. The transcript is spliced from 2 exons. The record is from RefSeq and is a predicted model, not a curated record.